This 650-nucleotide ribosomal RNA is filed under the name uncultured Clostridium sp. Its description in RNAcentral is "bacterial SSU rRNA". It matches the Rfam family "Bacterial small subunit ribosomal RNA", at positions 92 to 761 of the family's 1533-position model. Lineage: Bacteria; Bacillati; Bacillota; Clostridia; Eubacteriales; Clostridiaceae. The record is from RNAcentral.
AGAGCGGCGGACGGGUGAGUAACGCGUGGGUAACCUGCCCUGUACACACGGAUAACAUACCGAAAGGUAUGCUAAUACGAGAUAAUAUGCUUUUAUCGCAUGGUAGAAGUAUCAAAGCUCCGGCGGUACAGGAUGGACCCGCGUCUGAUUAGCUAGUUGGUAAGGUAACGGCUUACCAAGGCGACGAUCAGUAGCCGACCUGAGAGGGUGAUCGGCCACAUUGGAACUGAGACACGGUCCAAACUCCUACGGGAGGCAGCAGUGGGGAAUAUUGCACAAUGGGCGAAAGCCUGAUGCAGCAACGCCGCGUGAGCGAUGAAGGCCUUCGGGUCGUAAAGCUCUGUCCUCAAGGAAGAUAAUGACGGUACUUGAGGAGGAAGCCCCGGCUAACUACGUGCCAGCAGCCGCGGUAAUACGUAGGGGGCUAGCGUUAUCCGGAAUUACUGGGCGUAAAGGGUGCGUAGGUGGUUUCUUAAGUCAGAGGUGAAAGGCUACGGCUCAACCGUAGUAAGCCUUUGAAACUGGGAAACUUGAGUGCAGGAGAGGAGAGUGGAAUUCCUAGUGUAGCGGUGAAAUGCGUAGAUAUUAGGAGGAACACCAGUUGCGAAGGCGGCUCUCUGGACUGUAACUGACACUGAGGCACGAAAGCG